Molecule: long non-coding RNA, 217 nt
Filed under: Mytilus galloprovincialis (Mediterranean mussel)
Lineage: Eukaryota; Metazoa; Mollusca; Bivalvia; Mytilida; Mytilidae
Source: RNAcentral
ACUACAUAUUGUGUCACAACAUAAUUUGCAUACUUGUACAAAAAUAGUUGUACAACUGUCAGAACUAACCAACUUACUUUAAUGGGUCCACCAUACAACAACUUAUCAUUUUUAAAACGUACAUGGCAUUAGAAGAUUAUUUAUAUAACUAUGUCUUUAACAUUAGUAAGAUGGAAACUGGAAAGUCACAAAUCCCGCUAACAUGUUUAACCCCGCC